AGCAGCCGCGGUAAUUCCAGCUCCAAUAGCGUAUAUUAAAGUUGUUGCAGUUAAAAAGCUCGUAGUUGAAUUUCGGGGUUAGUAGGUUGGUCAUGCCUCUGGUAUGUACUGGUCUCACUGAUUCCUCCUUCCUGAUGAGCCGUAAUGCCAUUAAUUUGGUGUUGCGGGGAAUUUGGACUGUUACUUUGAAAAAUUAGAGUGUUUAAAGCAAGCUAACGCUUGAAUACAUUAGCAUGGAAUAAUGAAAUAGGACGUUCGAUCCUAUUUUGUUGGUUUCUAGGAUUGACGUAAUGAUUAAUAGGGAUAGUUGGGGCAUUAGUAUUCAAUUGUCAGAGGUGAAAUUCUUGGAUUUAUUGAAGACUAACUACUGCGAAAGCAUUUGCCAAGGAUGUUUUCAUUAAUCAAGACGAAAGUUAGGGGAUCGAAGACGAUCAGAUACCGUCGUAGUCUUAACCAUAAACUAUAGCCGACUAGGGAUCGGAUGAUGUUAAUUUUAUG
This 498-nucleotide ribosomal RNA is filed under the name uncultured Glomus. RNAcentral describes it as "SSU rRNA". It matches the Rfam family "Eukaryotic small subunit ribosomal RNA", at positions 569 to 1073 of the family's 1831-position model. Lineage: Eukaryota; Fungi; Glomeromycota; Glomeromycetes; Glomerales; Glomeraceae. The record is from RNAcentral.